RNAcentral lists this ribosomal RNA (390 nucleotides) under uncultured bacterium. Its description in RNAcentral is "bacterial SSU rRNA". It matches the Rfam family "Bacterial small subunit ribosomal RNA", at positions 29 to 408 of the family's 1533-position model. The record is from RNAcentral.
AAUGAACGCUGGCGGCGCGCCUAAUACAUGCAAGUCGAGCGAGAAGACGUAGCAAUACGUUUGUAAAGCGGCGAACGGGUGAGGAAUACAUGGGUAACCUACCCUCGAGUGGGGAAUAACUAGCCGAAAGGUUAGCUAAUACCGCGUACGCUCCUUGGACUUCGGUUCAGGGAGGGAAAGCGAUACCGUGGGUAUCGCGCUCUUGGUUGGGCUCAUGUCCUAUCAGCUUGUUGGUGAGGUAACGGCUCACCAAGGCUUCGACGGGUAGCUGGUCUGAGAGGACGAUCAGCCACACUGGCACUGCGACACGGGCCAGACUCCUACGGGAGGCAGCAGUAAGGAAUAUUGCGCAAUGGGCGAAAGCCUGACGCAGCGACGCCGCGUGGGGGA